CCUGGCUCAGGAUAAACGCUGGCGGCGUGCCUAAUACAUGCAAGUCGAUCGCUGGAGCUCAAGCUUGCUUGAGUGAAGGAGAGGCGAACGGGUGAGUAAUACAUAAGCAACCUGCCCACGAAGACUGGGAUAAUUCCUGGAAACGGGGACUAAUACCGGAUAGGCAGCGUGAUCGCAUGAUCGUGCUGUUAAAGAUUCAAAGCACUGGUGGAUGGGCUUAUGGCGCAUUAGCUGGUUGGUGAGGUAACGGCCCACCAAGGCGAUGAUGCGUAGCCGGCCUGAGAGGGUGAACGGCCACAUUGGGACUGAGACACGGCCCAGACUCCUACGGGAGGCAGCAGUAGGGAAUUUUCGGCAAUGGGCGCAAGCCUGACCGAGCAACGCCGCGUGAGUGAAGACGGCCUUCGGGUUGUAAGGCUCUGUUGUAAGGGAAGAACACACGUGAGAGAAUCAUGUGCUGACGGUACCUUACCAGAAAGCCACGGCUAACUACGUGCCAGCCGCCGC
This 507-nucleotide ribosomal RNA is filed under the name uncultured bacterium. RNAcentral's name for it is "bacterial SSU rRNA". It matches the Rfam family "Bacterial small subunit ribosomal RNA", at positions 18 to 518 of the family's 1533-position model. The record is from RNAcentral.